AUAGUUAAGAUUAUGCAUUUUGUAAUUCUUUUAGUGAAAGUUUGGGUAAUAAUAAUCAUUUGGUACAGAGUUUACCUUACUUUGUUAUAUAGCUAGCAGAUCUGACAUUACUGUGUAUGGAAGUUGAUUAAUAUUUAUAUUUGCUUUAUUAAGAAUAACUUUCUAAUCGAUUAAUGUUAUUAAUAAUAUGUAUGACAUUCUCCGCACAUUGUAACACAUCUAUGCAGUACUCCAGUUGGAUGCUUUAUCCAGUUUGAAUUUAACACUGGGUAUGUCUGCCCAGGGUGAACUUUCACUUUAGUUUCUAACAUUCUCUGUCAGUGAUCAGAUUAAUGUAAGCACCACUACGUUUUUUGUUUUGAGUCUUUACAUAUACAUUUACUGUUUGAAAAUCUUCUAAAUAUAUAACUUUUUGCUUUGGUCGUGUUUUUAUUUCAGAUGUUUAAUUCUCAACAAAAGUCAAUGCAGUGCUGCUAUUGUAAAUUUUCCCUGCAACAGGAUCAGCCAAUGUUAUCCACAAUUAAACAACGAUGGGCAGGGCUUUUUGUUGAAGAACAGGUUUAUGCAGAAUUUCUAUGCAUAACCUGCGUUGAUCAUUAAGUUAGCACUCCUAACAUCACUGGACAGUUUCUGCUGUGGGCUUGCUUAUGAUGUACAGAGCUCAAGAGGAAAUGGAGAAUCUAGUAGAUAAACAGGAUAUACAGACCACAGACUUAACAGCACACAGGAGAGACACUGUUCUUCUGAGUCUUCCCUUCUACCUAAGAGAGAUGGCCUCAAUUUCAAAAACAUCCUGAAUUCUGCAAGGAACAUUACGAUGGGAAUUUUAGAGUUGGUCAGGAAUGGCUUCCCUUCAAGAUUGCUGUCCAGUGCAGUAAAUGUUGUAAUUGUCCUUGCAGAGGAUGUGGUUAUGGAGAACUUGGGAAACUUUACAAAUGCCUUUACAAUCCAGUUUGACCCACUUUAUGAUUUUAAUAUGAACUAUCGCAAGAACUUUAAAUACACAUUUCUGGUGGUCCAGAAAGUGUUCCAGUACCUUGGAAAUGACUACACUGCUAGAGUGCAAUCUCUAAAAAACAAACUAUUUGCAAUAUAAUACGAAUUUCUGUGUAAUUUCUUCCAGUUAAUUUUUGUCAGUUUGAGCACCUGCUUUUGAAGAGAAAAAUAAAAGUCUUUGAUCACUGUUUUAAAAAAUUUUAGUUAAGUGGACUUGACUGUUAAAUGGUCUGUUGUCUUAUUUGAUUUAUUCGUUUUCUAAAUAAGUCUCUAAAUCUGGAUUCCGUUACCAUUCUACUGCUCUUACAUAAAGCAUUCUUUCUGUGUAGCUUAAAUGCACAGUAAUAUUGCAGCUGCAAAGUUAUAAAUGUUGUUAAUAAUUUAAA
Molecule: long non-coding RNA, 1382 nt
Organism: Erpetoichthys calabaricus (reedfish)
Lineage: Eukaryota; Metazoa; Chordata; Cladistia; Polypteriformes; Polypteridae
Exons: 4
Source: RefSeq, a predicted model, not a curated record